Molecule: ribosomal RNA, 138 nt
Rfam family: Eukaryotic small subunit ribosomal RNA
GCUUAGUGAGGCGUCCGGACUGGUCCAGGAAGGCGGGCAACCGCCCUCCAGGACCGGAAAGCUCUCCAAACUUGGUCAUUUAGAGGAAGUAAAAGUCGUAACAAGGUCUCCGUUGGUGAACCAGCGGAGGGAUCAUUA